AGAGUUUGAUCCUGGCUCAGAACGAACGCUGGCGGCAGGCUUAACACAUGCAAGUCGAACGCCCCGCAAGGGGAGUGGCAGACGGGUGAGUAACGCGUGGGAAUCUACCCAGUUCUACGGAACAACUGAGGGAAACUUCAGCUAAUACCGUAUACGCCUCAAGGGGGAAAGAUUUAUCGGAAUUGGAUGAGCCCGCGUUGGAUUAGCUAGUUGGUGAGGUAAUGGCCCACCAAGGCGACGAUCCAUAGCUGGUCUGAGAGGAUGAUCAGCCACACUGGGACUGAGACACGGCCCAGACUCCUACGGGAGGCAGCAGUGGGGAAUAUUGGACAAUGGGCGAAAGCCUGAUCCAGCCAUGCCGCGUGAGUGAUGAAGGCCUUAGGGUUGUAAAGCUCUUUCAGUAGGGAAGAUAAUGACGGUACCUACAGAAGAAGCCCCGGCUAACUUCGUGCCAGCCGCCGCGGUAAUAC
Molecule: ribosomal RNA, 470 nt
Filed under: uncultured bacterium
Lineage: Bacteria
Description: bacterial SSU rRNA
Rfam family: Bacterial small subunit ribosomal RNA
Source: RNAcentral